AAACCAACAGGGAUUGCCCUAGUAACGGCGAGUGAAGCGGCAACAGCUCAAAUUUGAAAUCUGGCCUUCGGGUCCGAGUUGUAAUUUGUAGAGGAUGCUUUUGGCGCGGUGCCUUCCGAGUUCCCUGGAACGGGACGCCUUAGAGGGUGAGAGCCCCGUACGGUUGGACACCAAGCCUCUGUAAAGCUCCUUCGACGAGUCGAGUAGUUUGGGAAUGCUGCUCUAAAUGGGAGGUAAAUUUCUUCUAAAGCUAAAUAUUGGCCAGAGACCGAUAGCGCACAAGUAGAGUGAUCGAAAGAUGAAAAGCACUUUGAAAAGAGGGUUAAAUAGCACGUGAAAUUGUUGAAAGGGAAGCGUUUGCGACCAGACCUUUUCCUAGCGGAUCAUCCGGUGUUCUCACCGGUGCACUUUGCUAGGUUGAGGCCAGCAUCGGUUUUCGUAGGGGGAUAAAAGCUUGGGGAACGUAGCUCCCUCGGGAGUGUUAUAGCCCCUCGCAUAAUACCUUUACGGGGACCGAGGACCGCGCUUCGGCAAGGAUGCUGGCAUAAUGGUCGUCAACGAC
Molecule: ribosomal RNA, 562 nt
Filed under: Xylaria coccophora
Lineage: Eukaryota; Fungi; Ascomycota; Sordariomycetes; Xylariales; Xylariaceae
Description: eukaryotic LSU rRNA
Rfam family: Eukaryotic large subunit ribosomal RNA
Source: RNAcentral